Molecule: long non-coding RNA, 816 nt
Filed under: Homo sapiens (human)
Lineage: Eukaryota; Metazoa; Chordata; Mammalia; Primates; Hominidae
Description: HSALNT0332943
Source: RNAcentral
CUUAUUCUCAAAAUACAUUUUAUUACCCAAUCUGCUCCCGACAUUAAAUAAAACUCCAAAAAUUAAAUUCCGGCCCUCAAACCCCACAACAGGACCUAAUUAACCUUGCCUUCAAGGUGUACAAUAAUAGAGCAGAGGCAGCCAAGUAGCAACAUAUUUCUGAGUUGCAAUUCCUUGCCUCCACUGUGAGACAAACCCCAGCCACAUGUCCAGCACACAAGAACUUCCAAACGCCUAAACCACAGUGGCCAGGUGUUCCUCCAGAACAUCCUCCCCCAGGAGCUUGCUACAAGUGCCAGAAAUCUGGCCACCACCCCAAGGAAUGCCCGCAGCCCAGGAUUCCUCCUAAGCCGUGUCCCAUCUGUGCAGGACCCCACUGGAAAUCAGACUGUUCAACUCACCUGGCAGCCACUCCCAGAGCCCCUGGAACUCUGGCCCAAGGCUCUCUGACUGACUCCUUCCCAGAUCUUCUCGGCUUAGUGGCUGAAGACUGAUGCUACCUGAUUGCCUCGGAAGCCCCACAGACCAUCACAGACGCCGAGCUUUAAGUAACUCUCACAGUGGAAGACAGGAAUGUCAGGACUCUGAGCCCAAGCUAAGCCAUCAUACCCCCUGUGACCUGCACGUACACAUCCAGAUGGCCAGUUCCUGCCUUAACUGAUGACAUUCCACCACAAAAUAAGUGAAAAUGGCCUGUUCCUGCCUUAAAGGAUGGCAUUAUCUUGUGAAAUUCCUUCUCCUGGCUCAUCCUGGCUCAAAAGCUCCCCGACUGAGCACCUUGUGACCACCACUCCUGCCCGCCAGAGAACAACACCC